UUUUCUCUGGCAGUUACAGAACAAAGGACAAGGAAGAAAGAACCAUUUUCUUCCUUCUUUUGCAGGGGAAACAGAGGUGAUUCCUACAGGGAGUCAUGGUGAAUUUGUUGCAAGCAGAAGGCUAAGCUAAGCUGGCAGUUAAAGCCCUCAGCUGACUUAGUGGCCUUACAUUCAGGGGAGGGCCAAAAUGGCUGCACCCUGGCUCAUCCAAUCCAUUCAGCAGCUCCCCAUUAGGUAGGGUUGUGCUUCCCCCACCAAGCCUCCUGUUUUAAGAACUUGUUUUAAAAAGAUGAUGUACAUUUCCCCGGCAGAGCCCAAACGCUCUCCCCUGGGCUGAGGGGAUUUCCAUGACGGGAGAGGCCUGGCUGAGUGGUGCGGACUUGCUUUGCCAUGAGGGCUGGGAAAGGGUUUGGAAAAGGACACGCAGGAAACCUGCCCUCUGGACCUCCUUGCAGGACCCAUCUCAAGUUUCUAUGCUGGCCCAGAAGGUCACGUUGCAGGGGAGAGGAGGGAGAGGAGGGGAGAGAAGAAGACCACGAGGUCCAUGUAGCUGGAGCUGGUUCUAGGACACAAAAUAAAUUCUCCCAGCCCCAAAAUAUUGCCCUCCUGCAUGGUGUGCCAAUAUGGGGGGCAGGGGGGAGGUUAUUUUCCAUUUUUCUUCCCCUUGCAGAAACGGAAGUGUGGCUGCGAGAAGAAAGGGAGGGAGCGGGGAGCUGUUUCUUGCUUCUUCCUCUUCUUUUCAAUAGUCUUUCCCCUCAGAAACCGCUGGGAAGAAUUUCUGACGGGGCUGGUGAGAUCUGCCCCACCCGCCCCCCAGGGAUGGAGAAAGCUCUUGGCCAGAGAAGAGCGGCCAUCCUGGCGCUGGAGUGAUGAUGUCCCUCACGUCUCUGAGGUGACGAGGGAGACUGGCUCACUGACAGAGGCCUGGGCUCCAUGGCCUCCUCCCUCGUCCCUCCCAGCGGGCAGUGGCCUCUCCCUUCAUUUUACCUCAGCACUGCCAGGCCUCAGUGCUCCUAGAGGGCGAAAGGAAGUCUCUUCUUAACAGUGCAGGGGUUCCCAGCCAUGUUACUCCAGGUGUUGCUGAACGACAAAUCCCAUCAUCCUCAACCAUGAAUUGUAGCAUGGGGGUGAUGGGAAUCGUAGUUCAACAACAUCUGGUUCCGCACUGGCUGGGAAUCCCCCUCUGAACUGGUUCAUAAAGGAACACAAACUCUGGCAAAAUACAGAGAGUCAGAGGUACUUGGCUGUUUUGGACCGGCCUGGUUCCCAAGCUGUGCCUGUUGGGUUGCUCAUAAAUAGAAGGCAAGAAUCUCCCAAUUCUUAACCAUGAAAAACAAGUCCUUCUGCCUCAAAGACAGGAGCAGUUUGAAAUGGUCCCAUUUGUAAUGUCAGUUAAAAUGCCAGUUUUUAUUUGGAAGCUAACAAAAAACCCUCCCUCCCUCUGGAGAGGAGAGAAAGCGAAAGCGAAAGUGGGAGGCAGCUAGCAAGAGGCUUCGCUCCCAGUGGCCAGAAGGAGAAGAAAGGCGGUGGCUGAUUUCUAUGAAAAGAAGAACUCCCCAGUGGAAGGGUCAGUCCGCCAUAUCCCUUUCUCACCCACUCCCCCUUUUCUAGAUCUCUGGAUGCUACUAAGAUUUGCUAGUGAAAUUUCAAAACAGGAAAGAAGGGGAGGAAAAGAGAAAAGCUGCUCCCAGCAAAUGCUGGAGAAACCCAAUGCCUUCUGAGGGCUUGCUUGGGCUCCGACCUUUCCGGAACCCCCUUUGCUUACAGACCAAGCGCCCUCAUUUUGCACAAACUACGAUCGCCAUGUUUCACAGAAGAUUCAACACCGACACAAUGUGCUCUCUCGGAACUGAGAAUACUUUCCAUGGACUUUUCAGGAGCUAAUUUAGUCAUAUUGUGGAACGAGAAGACAGCCAGCAUUGAGAAGAAAGCCAGUAUGAAGUGAUUAUUGUGGCCUGCCUAAGAUCUUGCUGCAUGGAUUUGGCACAGAGUUCUGUAUUUAUUUUUUCUCUUCCCUUUUUCUGUGUAUUAGUUUAACACCACUAAUGGAGUUUGCAUUUCUUGCCAACAGUAUUUAGUACUGAAAUUCUGUACUUUUGUCCAAAUUCCUUCAUCUGUUAUUUGCACCAUGAAAUUAAUAUUGGAGAGAGAGCUCUUUACUGAGGAAGCUUGAAGCAGAAGCUUUUUCAUGUUCCUGCUAUAAGAAUAAGGAUAUUAAAGACAUCAAAUAUUUCUAGCGUUUUUCUAGAUUUUUGGAUUUUAAUUUUUUUGUCUGUUUUGGAUUCUGUUCGUCCAUCAACUUAAUAAACAGCAUUAUUAAUGGAAUUUGUACUCAUUACUUGUAUCAUUUUGUAUUCUGCAUGGAAUUUUUUAUUUGUUACUCAGGAAACUGGGGUGGAUAAGAUUAGAAUAUUUAACUUUUUUUAAAAAAAUAAUACUAUUUUUCUAUUUUGAAAUAAUACUAUUUCUAACCUAACAAAAAAUGAAUUUGGAAUGUGUGAGAUAUAUAUAUAUUCCCCAGUUGAAAGCCCCUCUUUGUGUUUCUUCCCCAAGCCCUUGUUUGUGCCUGAGUGGAGAUGGGCUGAAGUACAAUGCCUCCACUGGAAACUCCAGCCCUGCCCAGCACCGAGGCUGACCCGACCCGACCCUACUUUGUGGGUCCAGACAGCAAACGUUGUUAUCCUACCUGUGGCCCUGAUCCAACCUCCAAGGGGAUUCAGGAGAAUGCAAGCUUCAAAGUACUUUUGCGAUUCCGUAAGCUGAAUGAGGAAGAGGAAAAGGCCAGAUGAUGCAGAAGGAGUCCCAAGGUAUCUUUGUUGGAAGUGCAGGAGAGUCCGAGUCCAUUCCAAGGAGACCAGAACAAGAUGAAUUCCCACUUAGUGUGCUGGCUUCCGUUCUUCUGCCACACUCACCUCCCCUUGAAGCCACUCUCUGGAUCGGUGGGCCUUGACUCUGCUUCCCAUGACAGGUUUUCAGAUUUUUAAACCUCCACCAUGAAAGACAAAAAACAAACAGGUUUGCCUUACCUGUGGUUUCGACCCCACAACUGCAUUCCGUAAAAAGAAAGGGAGGUUCCAGACACUGGAAUGCUUUCGGAAGCUGAAUGAGGGGACACAGCGGAGGCCAGUUCUGCCGCCACUGCCUAGACUGGGACCAGCAGCAGCACCCCACUACGGCCUCUUCCUCCAGUGGCAAAUCCAGCCACACCCGGCACUGCGGCCACACCUAACAGCACCUAGGAUGUGGUAAGCACCGAACCUCCAGCACUGUUCCACCUAGAUUGGAAGUCGUGCCCCUCCCCAGAGGGCGGGGAGAAGAGCAGGUGCUCCUUGCAGGGUGUGGAAAGGUCCGAGGGGUCUCCAAGAAGUGCACAGAUGGCAGUCAACUGGUGUCUUGCCCCACAACCCUGCUCUUGAAUCCAGGUUUCCCAGCAGCGGCCAGGUCUGUGGCUGCCCCCCAUGCCAUUAGCAGCAGCACCCCCUCCACUCCAGCCUCCAGCUCCAGCCCUGCCCAGCCCUGCGGCCUCCCACAAGAGCAGCAACAACAACCGUGAUUUGCGAAGAGGGCAGCCAAGGCCUUGAGGUGGUGCCAGAGACAAACACUGUUUUGCCCCACACCCCUGGUGGGGGCAGCCCCCUUUCCAAAGGGACCUUUGCAGGAUGUGGAAGUGGCCCAGGGGGCGGGGAGGAGAGAAGGUCGCCAUCAGCCUCUUCUCUCCUCAUGCAAGUUUUGCAAGGAGGGUGGGGAGAAGGGCUCCGAGGGUCCAAUGGGUCUCCAAGAGCUGCUCGGAUGGCUGUCUCGGGGGCCGUCUUGCCCCCCUGGAAUAGGACAGCAGCUCCUUCCAAGCAUGAGUGAAGAUUCUGGUUUCUCCGGUGGCAAAGUCUGAGCCCCUUGGUGAAGAACAGGGAGUACGUGUGGUGGGAGCAUCUCCUUGGAAGCGUCACCUCGGUGUGCAGCAGCUGUAAAAAGACAAUUUCCAUGCUAAGGAUCAUCAGGAAGAGGGCUGAGAACAGUACUGCUAAUAUGAUCCUCCCUUGAUACAAAUCUCUGGUGUAGCCAGCUGGUCUAUGACCAUAAUAAACUCCUGUCUAUCUAUCUAUCUAUCUAUCUAU
Hemicordylus capensis (graceful crag lizard) is the source of this 4112-nucleotide long non-coding RNA. RefSeq lists it as uncharacterized. The transcript has 5 exons. The record is from RefSeq and is a predicted model, not a curated record. Lineage: Eukaryota; Metazoa; Chordata; Lepidosauria; Squamata; Cordylidae.